Cinara cedri is the source of this 1012-nucleotide non-coding RNA. The record is from the annotation of a GenBank genome assembly. NCBI's taxonomy places the organism in Eukaryota, Metazoa, Arthropoda, Insecta, Hemiptera, Aphididae.
UUUAAAUAUGAUGGAUACAGUAAUUACGUUUUCAGACCGUUAUAUCAUUUAUCUUUAUCAUUAUUUAUCCUGAUCAUUUUUCAACAUUUGCUCCCUAUAUUUGCUACCUAUACCCGUAUCGUAAUCAUUCAUCAUGCGUUAGUGCCGUUGUGUUGUUUAUCAGUAUUGUAAUGACUACCAAAUUAAUAUUUAAUGCUCAGUUAUGCUUAGGUAUGUUCAGUUAUAUAGUAACUUGGCCAUAAUUUAUUCCCUUCCGAGCAGAACACCUGUACAUUUAAUAUAAGAAAAAAAAACAGCAAUAUUUUAUUAAUUUUCACGAAAAAUGACAACAGUAUAAACAUCCGUAAUCUGAAAUAUAAUAAAAAACAUUGGAAUAUAAUAAUACAAAUUAUUCAAAAUAAGUGAAAUAAUGUAUUAUCUUUAUUUAUUAAAAAUUAGAAAAUUAGAAUUGAACUAAUCUCGUGCAAUCUAAUAAACUGGUUUUCUAUUAUUUUCAAAUUAGUAAAUCUGUAUCUGCUGUCUAGAGUGGACAGCCCCACUGCAAGUAUUCAUCUAGGGCCUAGGUAUUGUUUCGUGCGACAAUUAAUAAAUAGACAACCCCUUUUAGAUAAGAUGCUUAAAUGCUUAAACACAUUAUUGUCACAGUCACAGAUUUAUGACACUAUAAACAUUAUAGUACUAUACAUAAAUACCUACUAUAUGUACUAUGUAGGUAUAAUGCAAUAUACAAUAUACAAUAUUUGUAUAAAAUGUACAAAGAAUUAUCAAGCUAUAAUAAUAUAUCUAAUGUUCAAAAGUCAUGUGAAACACGUUGCAUUCCUCAAACAAGAUUCUGUCAAUAAAAUUAGAGGAAUAAUUCUUCCCCCCUCAACAAAGUUCUUCUUUUGGAUUUAUUAAAAAUCGCCAAAUGCGAAAAAAAUAUUUUACAAAAAACAUUGAUGACAUCAAAACAAAGAAGAUUAUGGACAGUCUACAAAAACAGAUGUUCUCAGGAGAAGUCACAGAACCCAGG